RNAcentral lists this long non-coding RNA (1374 nucleotides) under Canis lupus familiaris (dog). Its description in RNAcentral is "lncRNA (ENSCAFG00040003585.1)". The record is from RNAcentral. Lineage: Eukaryota; Metazoa; Chordata; Mammalia; Carnivora; Canidae.
AUGAUACUUUCCAAAAGCUCGGAUCGCUCCCCUACCCCCCCCCGCCCCACCACCACCACCAAAAUAAAAACAAAAAGCCAGCCUCGGAGGCGGGCAGCGCCGGCCGGGCCGGCGGCGGGCGGACGGGGUGAGCCCUGCGCCCCGAGGCCGCCCCCGAGGAGGCGGCUGUUUGGCUUGGCCCGCGGCGGCGCUGGGCGGGGAGGUGUGCGCGGCCGCGGGCGGGACCCGGGCGCAGCUCCCUCUCCGGGGCAUUAUUCUGGAGCGACAGAAAUGAAGCCGCAGCCCGGGCAACUUUACUUGCUGCUCCCCGAACUACCAUUCGGCACUCUCUUUCCCUUGCCCUGGGGCCACCUCGGGAAGGGAAAAGAAAAAAAAAAAAAAAAAAAAAAACCACCACCCACCCACCACUAUUUCCUCCGCCCCUUCCAGAGGCGGGUCGGUGAUCUCGAUCUCCCGGGAAGGGCGGCCCAAAUAUGCACUUCUCUAAAGGUGUCGGGAGACCCGGGGGAAACCCCCAAACCGAGGGGCUUACCCUUCGCAGCCCGCCCGGCCCGGCUCCCGAGGCGCGGCGGCGAGCAGAGCGGGGACGCGGGCGGGCGCCGGGCCCGGCCGGGACGCGCUAGGCCGCAGGCUCGGUUAAUAUUCAUGAGCGGACGGGAGGCGCCCCUCCUCCACGGCCGGCCGGCCGGACCUCGGCGCCCGCCGCCGGCCUUUGUGCCCUUCCCUCCUUCCCCCGGCCCUCCCUCGCUCCGCACACGCGGGCGCGGCCCCUCCGCCCCCGCCCCCGCCGGGCGUCCGCCGCGGGCUCCCUCCGGCCCCGCGCCAGCGCCGGGCGGGGUGGCCUGGGGUGGCGGGAAGGGAGGGAGCCCGCGGCGCGCCGGGCUCUCCACCCGCCCGCGGGCGCUGCGCCCUCUCGGCCGAGGCGGAAAGCAAAGCAGACACGCACCGGAGGAAGCGGGGCGAGUGGAUCCGCUCGGGGCUGGCGGGCCCCCGGCGGCGCGCCCCGCACGCCCGGCGCGAGGACGAUCCGCCGCUGCCCGCCGCCGCGCUCCGAGGCCGCCGCCCCCGGCCGGCCGCUCCCAGGCACCGCCGCGACCCGCCCCGGCCGGGCCCGGGCUCUCGGCCGCCGCGGGAGGGCGUGGGGCGGGGCGGCGGCCGCCGGACUCUCCCCUCGCCUCGCCGGGCCGGGCCGGGGCCGCGCUCGGGCGCCCGCGAUCGCCAAGUGACAGAAGCGCCUCGCUCCGCCGCCGCGCCGAGCUGUUUCCCGGGGGCGGAUUUCUCGCUUCUUCCUCCCUGGAUCCACCUCCUCCCACUCCACCUCCUUCCCCUCCCCUCCCCAGGGGAGGCUCUGGGGCUGAAUAUUUUCUGUCUUGA